CACUGGUGGUGUGUCCAAUACAGUACAGUACAGUACAGUGCUAUAUUAAUACUAACACUGGUGGUGUGUCCAAUACAGUACAGUACAGUACAGUGCUAUAUUAAUACUAACACUGGUGGUGUGUCCAAUACAGUACAGUACAGUACAGUGCUAUAUUAACACUAACACUGGUGGUGUGUCCAAUACAGUACAGUACAGUACAGUGCUAUAUUAAUACUAACACUGGUGGUGUGUCCAAUACAGUACAGUACAGUACAGUGCUAUAUUAAUACUAACACUGGUGGUGUGUCCAAUAGGUUCGUGCUAUAUUGGGCCCUCAGUCUUAUCUAUUGCAAGCUGCUGAGGAACUGUAUGAGAAAGAACUGACUCCAUUAGCAGAAGAAAUAUUAAAGGAGGGUGGUGGUGUUGGUGAUGCUAGUAUUAGGAAGAUUGCAUAUUUUGAUGGAGCUAAAGACCCUUCGCUCUUUAAGGGAAAUAAGCGUGACAAGACUCGUGUAGUUACUUACAGGUGCCCCAGUAACUGUGCAGUCCAAGUGUACAAUUAUAUAGA
Long non-coding RNA from Amphimedon queenslandica, 550 nucleotides. RefSeq lists it as uncharacterized. NCBI's taxonomy places the organism in Eukaryota, Metazoa, Porifera, Demospongiae, Haplosclerida, Niphatidae. The transcript has 4 exons. The record is from RefSeq and is a predicted model, not a curated record.